CUGGUUUCUUGCAGUAUCUACACACUAGGUCUGUUUUGUUGGUGUCAAAUCUAAUUUACUGAUUGAACUGUUUAGGAUUUGAAUGUGUUCCAUAAGGUUUUUUCAUAAACUGGGUGCUAAAAGCACUGGAAUCAGUAGGAAAUUGGGAAGGUGAAUGAGUGACUUGUCUCUGCCUCUCAUCCUGAAGGAGUAUGUUAUAUG
RNAcentral lists this long non-coding RNA (201 nucleotides) under Nicotiana benthamiana. Its description in RNAcentral is "long non-coding RNA (NBEN_LNC000217)". Lineage: Eukaryota; Viridiplantae; Streptophyta; Magnoliopsida; Solanales; Solanaceae. The record is from RNAcentral.